AGACAGCAGUCGCCGCGGGAAUACAGAGGGUGCGAGCGUUAAUCGGAUUUACUGGGCGUAAAGCGUGCGUAGGCGGCUUCUUAAGUCGGAUGUGAAAUCCCUGAGCUUAACUUAGGAAUUGCAUUCGAUACUGGGAAGCUAGAGUAUGGGAGAGGAUGGUAGAAUUCCAGGUGUAGCGGUGAAAUGCGUAGAGAUCUGGAGGAAUACCGAUGGCGAAGGCAGCCAUCUGGCCUAAUACUGACGCUGAGGUACGAAAGCAUGGGGAGCAAACAGGAUUAGAUACCCCGGUAGUCCCUGUCUCUUAUAC
Molecule: ribosomal RNA, 307 nt
Filed under: uncultured bacterium
Lineage: Bacteria
Description: partial 16S ribosomal RNA
Rfam family: Bacterial small subunit ribosomal RNA
Source: RNAcentral